CCAGCUCAUUGGCAGCAUGAGAAUCCAUGACCCAGCAAAGACAGAGAGAUGAAAUGAAAGGAAAACAGUGACUCGAUGCAGUUUCCUGGGGAAUCUCAGCACACAACUAAAUCUUACGUUUUGAGAGUGAACCAUUGACAGCUACUCUAAGAACAAGUUCUGCCAUGGACUACAUAGAGCAUGAAGAAAAUGAGAAUAUCCUUGUCAAAUUGAUGGGGCUGAGAC
Molecule: long non-coding RNA, 225 nt
Organism: Pipra filicauda (Wire-tailed manakin)
Lineage: Eukaryota; Metazoa; Chordata; Aves; Passeriformes; Pipridae
Exons: 3
Source: RefSeq, a predicted model, not a curated record